Molecule: ribosomal RNA, 501 nt
Filed under: uncultured bacterium
Lineage: Bacteria
Description: partial 16S ribosomal RNA
Rfam family: Bacterial small subunit ribosomal RNA
Source: RNAcentral
AUUGAACGCUGGCGGCAUGCUUUACACAUGCAAGUCGAACGGUAACAGGGUGCUUGCACCGCUGACGAGUGGCGAACGGGUGAGUAAUGCGUCGGAACGUGCCGAGUAGUGGGGGAUAACGCAGCGAAAGUUGUGCUAAUACCGCAUACGUACUGAGGUAGAAAGUGGGGGACCUUCGGGCCUCACGCUAUUCGAGCGGCCGACGUCUGAUUAGCUAGUAGGUGAGGUAAAGGCUCACCUAGGCGACGAUCAGUAGCGGGUCGGAGAGGAUGAUCCGCCACACUGGGACUGAGACACGGCCCAGACUCCUACGGGAGGCAGCAGUGGGGAAUUUUGGACAAUGGGCGAAAGCCGGAUCCGGCCAUGCCGGGUGUGUGAAGAAGGCCUUAUGGUUGUAAAGCACUUUAAGCGAGGAGGAGGCUACUCUAGUUAAUACCUAGGGAUAGUGGACGUUACUCGCAGAAUAAGCACCGGCUAACUCUGUGCCAGCCGCCGCCGUAA